Pteronotus mesoamericanus is the source of this 109-nucleotide small nuclear RNA. The record is from RefSeq and is a predicted model, not a curated record. NCBI's taxonomy places the organism in Eukaryota, Metazoa, Chordata, Mammalia, Chiroptera, Mormoopidae.
AAUACCUUCUGGACAGACCUUUUAUACUAAAAUGGGAAUGAUACAGAGAAGAUUAGGAUGGCCCCUGCACAAGGAUGACACACACAUUCAUGAAGUGUUCCAUUGUUUU